This 254-nucleotide ribosomal RNA is filed under the name uncultured bacterium. Its description in RNAcentral is "partial 16S ribosomal RNA". It matches the Rfam family "Bacterial small subunit ribosomal RNA", at positions 524 to 776 of the family's 1533-position model. The record is from RNAcentral.
UACGUAGGGUGCAAGCGUUGUCCGGAUUUAUUGGGCGUAAAGAGCUCGUAGGCGGUUUAGCAAGUCGGGUGUGAAAACUUCAGGCUCAACCUGGAGAUGCCACUCGAGACUGCUAUGACUUGAGUCUGGUAGGGGAGCACGGAAUUCCUGGUGUAGCGGUGAAAUGCGCAGAUAUCAGGAGGAACACCGGUGGCGAAGGCGGUGCUCUGGGCCAGUACUGACGCUGAGGAGCGAAAGCGUGGGUAGCAAACAGG